UAUUUUGACUAUACAAAGGUAUUGUAAUAAGAUUUUAAUUGAAUGCUAAGAGAAUGGAAUUUCAGGGAAAAACUGUUUUAAACUUAAAAAUUAAAUUUAUUUUAAUUUGUGAAGAAACAAUUAUUUAAAUUAAGGACAAGAAGACCCUAAGAAUUUUAAAAAUAAUAAUUUUAAUAUUAAAAUUAUUAUUUUUUAGUUGGGGCAACUAAAAAAGAUUAUAAACUUUUUAUUUAAUAAAAUGAUCCAUUAUUAAUGAUAAUUUGAUAAAAAUACUCUAGGGAUAACAGCGUAAUAAUUUUUGAUAGAACAUAUAGACAAAAUAGUUUGCGACCUCGAUGUUGGAUUAGGAUACUUUUUUAAUGAAGAUGUUAAAAAAAGAAGUUUGUUCAACUUUUAAAGUCCU
RNAcentral lists this ribosomal RNA (403 nucleotides) under Dermacentor andersoni. RNAcentral describes it as "partial 16S ribosomal RNA". The record is from RNAcentral. Lineage: Eukaryota; Metazoa; Arthropoda; Arachnida; Ixodida; Ixodidae.